UGGGGAAUAUUGGACAAUGGGCGCAAGCCUGAUCCAGCCAUGCCGCGUGAGUGAUGAAGGCCUUAGGGUUGUAAAGCUCUUUCAGUGGGGAAGAUAAUGACGGUACCCACAGAAGAAGCCCCGGCUAACUUCGUGCCAGCAGCCGCGGUAAUACGAAGGGGGCUAGCGUUGUUCGGAUUUACUGGGCGUAAAGCGCACGUAGGCGGAUUGGUCAGUUAGGGGUGAAAUCCCAGAGCUCAACUCUGGAACUGCCUUUAAUACUGCCAGUCUAGAGUCCGGAAGAGGUGAGUGGAACUCCUAGUGUAGAGGUGGAAUUCGUAGAUAUUAGGAAGAACACCAGUGGCGAAGGCGGCUCACUGGUCCGGUACUGACGCUGAGGUGCGAAAGCGUGGGGAGCAAACA
RNAcentral lists this ribosomal RNA (402 nucleotides) under uncultured Devosia sp. RNAcentral describes it as "bacterial SSU rRNA". It matches the Rfam family "Bacterial small subunit ribosomal RNA", at positions 355 to 774 of the family's 1533-position model. The record is from RNAcentral. Lineage: Bacteria; Pseudomonadati; Pseudomonadota; Alphaproteobacteria; Hyphomicrobiales; Devosiaceae.